ACCUACUCAGCCGUCAAUCUUUAUAGUUAUAUAAAGAAAACUAUGGUUAACGACUAAGCAAGUAGC
Molecule: microRNA precursor, 66 nt
Filed under: Drosophila virilis
Lineage: Eukaryota; Metazoa; Arthropoda; Insecta; Diptera; Drosophilidae
Description: microRNA dvi-mir-9720 precursor
Source: miRBase by way of RNAcentral